This 595-nucleotide ribosomal RNA is filed under the name uncultured Bacteroidota bacterium. RNAcentral's name for it is "bacterial SSU rRNA". It matches the Rfam family "Bacterial small subunit ribosomal RNA", at positions 122 to 715 of the family's 1533-position model. The record is from RNAcentral. Lineage: Bacteria; Pseudomonadati; Bacteroidota.
CAACCUGCCCACCACUUGGGGAUAACCUUGCGAAAGUAAGACUAAUACCCAAUGAUAUCUCUAGAAGACAUCUGAAAGAGAUUAAAGAUUUAUCGGUGAUGGAUGGGGAUGCGUCUGAUUAGCUUGUUGGCGGGGUAACGGCCCACCAAGGCAACGAUCAGUAGGGGUUCUGAGAGGAAGGUCCCCCACAUUGGAACUGAGACACGGUCCAAACUCCUACGGGAGGCAGCAGUGAGGAAUAUUGGUCAAUGGGCGAAAGCCUGAACCAGCCAAGUAGCGUGCAGGAUGACGGCCCUAUGGGUUGUAAACUGCUUUUAUACAGGAAUAAAGUUAGCCACGUGUGGUUAUUUGUAGGUACUGUAUGAAUAAGGACCGGCUAAUUCCGUGCCAGCAGCCGCGGUAAUACGGAAGGUCCAGGCGUUAUCCGGAUUUAUUGGGUUUAAAGGGAGCGUAGGCCGUCUGUUAAGCGUGUUGUGAAAUGUAGAUGCUCAACAUCUGGAUUGCAGCGCGAACUGGCAGACUUGAGUGUGCGCAACGUAGGCGGAAUUCGUGGUGUAGCGGUGAAAUGCUUAGAUAUCACGAAGAACUCCGAUUG